GAUGAACGCUGGCGGCGUGCCUAAUACAUGCAAGUCGAGCGAACAGAUGAGGAGCUUGCUCCUCUGACGUUAGCGGCGGACGGGUGAGUAACACGUGGAUAACCUACCUAUAUUUCUGGGAUAACUUCGGGAAACCGGCGCUAAUACCGUAUAAUCUAUUGAACCGCAUGGUUCAAUAGUGAAAGACGGCUUUGCUGUCACUUAUAGCUGGAUCCGCGCUGCAUUAGCUAGUUGGUAAGGUAACGGCAUACCAAGGCAACGAUGCGUAGACGACCUGAGAGAGUGGUCGGCCACACUGGAACUGAGACAGGGACCAGACUACUACGGGAGGCAGCAGAAGGGAAUCUUACGCAAUAGGAGAAAGCCUGACAGAGCAACGCCACGUGAGUGAUGAAGGUCUUCGGAUCGUAAAACUCUGUUAUUGGGGAAGAACAAAUGUGUAAGGAACUAUGCACGUCUUGACGGUACCUAGUCAGAAAGCAACGGCUAACUACGUG
RNAcentral lists this ribosomal RNA (497 nucleotides) under uncultured bacterium. RNAcentral's name for it is "partial 16S ribosomal RNA". It matches the Rfam family "Bacterial small subunit ribosomal RNA", at positions 28 to 507 of the family's 1533-position model. The record is from RNAcentral.